Molecule: small nucleolar RNA, 107 nt
Organism: Gossypium raimondii (Peruvian cotton)
Lineage: Eukaryota; Viridiplantae; Streptophyta; Magnoliopsida; Malvales; Malvaceae
Rfam family: Plant small nucleolar RNA R71
About the family: R71 is a member of the C/D box family of snoRNAs containing the C (UGAUGA) and D (CUGA) box motifs. Multiple nearly identical copies of this snoRNA have been identified in Arabidopsis, and it is thought to function as a 2'-O-ribose methylation guide for 18S ribosomal RNA.
Source: Rfam
AUUUCGUGAUGAGGGCACUUCCGUAAUAAUUCUUUGUACCUUUCCCAUGCCUCAUACAAGGACUCAUCAUUCAUUUUCUAGAAGGUAGUGAUCUCAUUCCUCAACUU